Molecule: non-coding RNA, 440 nt
Organism: Pelobates cultripes (western spadefoot toad)
Lineage: Eukaryota; Metazoa; Chordata; Amphibia; Anura; Pelobatidae
Source: the annotation of a GenBank genome assembly
CUUUAGCACUAAAUAAUGAGACAAAUAUGGUCUGUGCACUGUGCUAACAAAUGUGUAGAUUGUCUUAAAAAUCCCUUAAAAGAAUAGUCCUUCUCCCACCUGCCAAUCAACAAGGCUGUCCAUUUCUUCUUCACAGCAACUAUAGAACAGGCACUACAUUUGCUGUGACUAUUCCUCUAUUAAGCAGAUCUAGUUUACCAGACGAUUACGGGAAUAGAAUGACAGAUGUGUCAAUAGGCUGACAAUGGGUUGACAACAAAGCCAACAGGAUGGUGCCAUGGGUGAUGGGCACCCUGUUUUAGAAAUCCUAACAUAAUGCUUUUGUCGUUUUUUUAUUUGCCUACAUUUAUCCUACUAAAAACUAAACAAUGAUCAAAUACAACAAAUACAGACAGGAAGAGAUGUAAUUAGUGACAUCAGGUAAUGAUGUAAUCCAGAAG